Molecule: ribosomal RNA, 253 nt
Filed under: uncultured bacterium
Lineage: Bacteria
Description: partial 16S ribosomal RNA
Rfam family: Bacterial small subunit ribosomal RNA
Source: RNAcentral
AACGUAGGUCCCGAGCGUUAUCCGGAUUUACUGGGCGUAAAGCGUGUUCAGGCGGUCUAGCAAGUCGGGCAUGAAAUCUCUCGGCUCAACCGGGAGGGGUUGUCCGAUACUGCUGGGCUUGAGGGCAGCAGAGGGUGGUGGAAUUCCGGGUGUAGUGGUGAAAUGCGUAGAUAUCCGGAGGAACACCAGUGGCGAAGGCGGCGUUCUGGACUGUUACUGACACUGAGGAACGAAAGCUAGGGGAGCAAACAGG